UGGGGAAUUUUGGACAAUUGGGCGAAAGCCUGAUCCAGCAAUGCCGCGUGUGUGAAGAAGGCCUUCGGGUUGUAAAGCACUUUUGUCCGGAAAGAAAUCCUUGGCUCUAAUACAGUCGGGGGAUGACGGUACCGGAAGAAUAAGCACCGGCUAACUACGUGCCAGCAGCCGCGGUAAUACGUAGGGUGCAAGCGUUAAUCGGAAUUACUGGGCGUAAAGCGUGCGCAGGCGGUUUGCUAAGACCGAUGUGAAAUCCCCGGGCUCAACCUGGGAACUGCAUUGGUGACUGGCAGGCUAGAGUAUGGCAGAGGGGGGUUAGAAUUCCACGUGUAGCAGUGAAAUGCGUAGAGAUGUGGAGGAAUACCGAUGGCGAAGGCAGCCCCCUGGGCCAAUACUGACGCUCAUGCACGAAAGCGUGGGGGAGCAAAACAGGAUUAGAUACCCCUGGUAGUCCACGCCCUAAACGAUGUCAACUAGUUGUUGGGGAUUCAUUUCCUUAGUAACGUAGCUAACGCGUGAAGUUGACCGCCUGGGGAGUACGGUCGCAAGAUUAAAACUCAAA
This 562-nucleotide ribosomal RNA is filed under the name uncultured bacterium. Its description in RNAcentral is "partial 16S ribosomal RNA". It matches the Rfam family "Bacterial small subunit ribosomal RNA", at positions 355 to 905 of the family's 1533-position model. The record is from RNAcentral.